RNAcentral lists this unclassified non-coding RNA (302 nucleotides) under Hevea brasiliensis (rubber tree). The record is from RNAcentral. Lineage: Eukaryota; Viridiplantae; Streptophyta; Magnoliopsida; Malpighiales; Euphorbiaceae.
UGAUAAUCAUAAAAAUUGCUCAAAUUUGCAGAUACGAAUAGUAAUAUUGAAGGAGAGAAAAGAGCAGUGAGCUUACUUGUUAUGCGAUGACGGCUAAAAUGAUUGAAAAUGAAUGGAAAUAAGAGAAGUAGAUGGUUAUUGACGAUGAAGGUAGGGUUUUUUUUUCUUUUUCUUUUUUUUUUUUUUUUCCCUCUCUGGAUAUAUAUGAAGCACAAGAUGCAGUGUAACGAGAGCUUAAUAUGUCUCGGAUAGACGAGAAGGGAAGCUUAGACGGAGAGAUGCUUGUGAUUACUUUCUUCUAG